GGCAAUGUGGCGUAGUUGGCAACACGUUCGCUUCAUAAGCGGAUGGUCAUGGGUUUGAUUCCCAGCUUCCUCA
Molecule: non-coding RNA, 73 nt
Organism: Aedes aegypti (yellow fever mosquito)
Lineage: Eukaryota; Metazoa; Arthropoda; Insecta; Diptera; Culicidae
Source: Rfam